UAGCGGCGGACGGGUGAGUAACGCGUGGGAACGUGCCCUUUGCUACGGAAUAGUCCCGGGAAACUGGGUUUAAUACCGUAUACGCCCUUCGGGGGAAAGAUUUAUCGGCAAAGGAUCGGCCCGCGUUGGAUUAGGUAGUUGGUGGGGUAAUGGCCUACCAAGCCGACGAUCCAUAGCUGGUUUGAGAGGAUGAUCAGCCACACUGGGACUGAGACACGGCCCAGACUCCUACGGGAGGCAGCAGUGGGGAAUCUUAGACAAUGGGGGCAACCCUGAUCUAGCCAUGCCGCGUGAGUGAUGAAGGCCUUAGGGUUGUAAAGCUCUUUCAGCUGGGAAGAUAAUGACGGUACCAGCAGAAGAAGCCCCGGCUAACUCCGUGCCAGCAGCCGCGGUAAUACGGAGGGGGCUAGCGUUGUUCGGAAUUACUGGGCGUAAAGCGCACGUAGGCGGAUCGGAAAGUUGGGGGUGAAAUCCCGGGGCUCAACCUCGGAACUGCCUCCAAAACUAUCGGUCUUGAGUUCGAGAGAGGUGAGUGGAAUUCCGAGUGUAGAGGUGAAAUUCGUAGAUAUUCGGAGGAACACCAGUGGCGAAGGCGGCUCACUGGCUCGAUACUG
Molecule: ribosomal RNA, 614 nt
Filed under: Paracoccus homiensis
Lineage: Bacteria; Pseudomonadati; Pseudomonadota; Alphaproteobacteria; Rhodobacterales; Paracoccaceae
Description: bacterial SSU rRNA
Rfam family: Bacterial small subunit ribosomal RNA
Source: RNAcentral